GCCUUUUCCAAUUUCCUUUUGGUAUUUAACUUUAAGGAAGUGGAGGAAUAAUACACUUUAAUAUAAUUUCUCUCCUGCAGGGCUUGUAUUUAUAUUUCAUAUGAGUGUGCAGAGAUGAAGGUAUUAAUGUCCACAACCGUCAUGUAAACACAACUUAAACCCUUCUGACACACUGAGCAGCUGCGUUUUAAAAUACCCUGCUGACGGUAAACAAACACGGUUUGUUGUUCAGGUUUCUGCAAGACGACAUCAUCUAAAUGAUUUCAUGCAGGAGCAGGCGGAUUGUGUGUCUCUGUGUGGUCGUUGUGUUUCUCUUUGUGGUCGUUGUGUGUCUCUUUGUAGUCACUUUGCAUCUCUUUGUGGUCGUUUUGUGUCUCUUUGUAGUCGUUUUGUGGUCGUUGUGUUUCUCUUUGUAGUCACUUUGUGUCUCUUUGUAGUCGUUUUGUGUCUCUUUGUAGUCGUUUUGUGUCUCUUUGUGGUCGUUUUGUGUUUCUUUGAGGUCGUUGUGUCUCUUUGUGUCGUUUUGUUUCUCUUUGUAGUCACUUUGUGUCUCUUUGUAGUCGUUUUGUGUCUCUUUGUGGUCGUUUUGUGUCUCUUUGUGGUCGUUGUGUUUCUCUUUGUAGUCACUUUGUGUCUCUUUGUAGUUGUUUUGUGUCUCUUUGUGGUCGUUUUGUGUCUCUUUGUGGUCGUUGUGUUUCUCUUUGUAGUCACUUUGUGUCUCUUUGUAGUUGUUUUGUGUCUCUUUGUAGUCACUUUGUGUCUCUUUGUAGUCGUAUUGUGUUUCUUUGUGGUUGUUGUGUCUCCUCUUUGUGGUUGUUGUGUUUCUCUUUGUGGUCAUUUUGUGUCUCUUUGUGGUCGUUUUGUGUCUCUUUGUGGUCGUUUUGUGUCUCUUUGUUGUCGUUUUGUGUCUCUUUGUGGUCGUUUUGUGUCUCUUUGUGGUCGUUUUGUGUCUCUUUGUUGUCGUUUGCGUCUCUUUGUGGUUGUUUUGCAUCUCUUUGUGGUUGUUUGUAGUCUCUUUGUGGUUGUUGUGUGUCUCUUUGUGGUUGUUGUGUGUCUCUUUGUGGUUGUUUGUAGUCUCUUUGUGGUUGUUGUGUGUCUCUUUGUGGUUAUUUGUAGUCUCUUUGUGGUUGUUUGUAGUCUCUUUGUGGUCGUUUUGCGUCUCUUUGUGGUUGUUUUGUGUUUCUUUGUGUCAGUAUAGUCUUAUUUCAAUGUGUAUUUAUGUAACAAUAUUACCAUUUAAAAAAGUCCCAUCAGUUUUGUUUUGGCUUUCCUUCUCCGGAGACUUUAACAGGAAACCAGAUGAUUUGAUGAAACUUGAUUUUAG
Molecule: long non-coding RNA, 1324 nt
Filed under: Cottoperca gobio
Lineage: Eukaryota; Metazoa; Chordata; Actinopteri; Perciformes; Bovichtidae
Description: lncRNA (ENSCGOG00000016559.1)
Source: RNAcentral